Rattus norvegicus (Norway rat) is the source of this 72-nucleotide non-coding RNA. The record is from Rfam. NCBI's taxonomy places the organism in Eukaryota, Metazoa, Chordata, Mammalia, Rodentia, Muridae.
GGGGAUUUAGCUCAGUGGUAGAGCGCUUGCCUAGGAAGCGCAAGGCCCUGGGUUCGGUCCCCAGCUCCUCCG